RNAcentral lists this ribosomal RNA (473 nucleotides) under uncultured bacterium. Its description in RNAcentral is "bacterial SSU rRNA". It matches the Rfam family "Bacterial small subunit ribosomal RNA", at positions 28 to 502 of the family's 1533-position model. The record is from RNAcentral.
GAUGAACGCUGGCGGCGUGCCUAACACAUGCAAGUCGAACGGAGCUGCUUUGAUGAAGUUUUCGGAUGGAUUUAAAACAGCUUAGUGGCGGACGGGUGAGUAACGCGUGGGUAACCUGCCUCACACUGGGGGAUAACAGUUAGAAAUAGCUGCUAAUAUCGCAUAAGCGCACAGUUCCGCAUGGAACAGUGUGAAAAACUCCGGUGGUGUGAGAUGGACCCGCGUCUGAUUAGCCAGUUGGCGGGGUAACGGCCCACCAAAGCGACGAUCAGUAGCCGGCCUGAGAGGGUGAACGGCCACAUUGGGACUGAGACACGGCCCAAACUCCUACGGGAGGCAGCAGUGGGGAAUAUUGCACAAUGGGGGAAACCCUGAUGCAGCGACGCCGCGUGAGUGAAGAAGUAUUUCGGUAUGUAAAGCUCUAUCAGCAGGGAAGAAAGUGACGGUACCUGAAUAAGAAGCCCCGGCUAACU